GUGUUCAGUUUUGCAGCAUAUGUACUAAAAUUGGAAUGAUACAGAGAAGAUUAGCAUGGCUCCUGCGCAAGGAUGACGCAAAAUUCUGACGUGUUCCAUUUUUUU
Anolis carolinensis (green anole) is the source of this 105-nucleotide small nuclear RNA. Lineage: Eukaryota; Metazoa; Chordata; Lepidosauria; Squamata; Anolidae. The record is from Ensembl.